GAUGAAGAACGUAGCGAAAUGCGAUACGUAAUGUGAAUUGCAGAAUUCAGUGAAUCAUCGAGUCUUUGAACGCACAUUGCGCCCCCUGGUAUUCCGGGGGGCAUGCCUGUCCGAGCGUCAUUGCUGCCCCCAAGCACGGCUUGUGUGUUGGGCCUCCGUCCUCCUCCCGGGGGACGGGCCCGAAAGGCAGCGGCGGCACCGCGUCCGGUCCUCGAGCGUAUGGGGCUUCGUCACCCGCUCUUGUAGGCCCGGCCGGCGCUUGCCGACACAUCAAUCUUUUUUCCAGGUUGACCUCGGAUCAGGUAGGGAUACCCGCUGAACUUAAGCAUAUCAAUAAGCGGAGGA
Molecule: unclassified non-coding RNA, 345 nt
Filed under: soil metagenome
Description: partial contains 5.8S ribosomal RNA, internal transcribed spacer 2, and large subunit ribosomal RNA
Rfam family: 5.8S ribosomal RNA (bases 1-120)
Source: RNAcentral